GGCGAACGGCUGAGUAACACGUGGGCAACCUGCCCUUUGCACUGGGAUAGCCUCGGGAAACCGAGGUUAAUACCGGAUACUCCAUAUUUGUCGCAUGGCGAAUAUGGAAAGCUCCGGCGGCAAAGGAUGGGCCCGCGGCCUGUUAGCUAGUUGGUGGGGUAGUGGCCUACCAAGGCAAUGAUGGGUAGCCGGGUUGAGAGACCGACCGGCCAGAUUGGGACUGAGACACGGCCCAGACUCCUACGGGAGGCAGCAGCU
Molecule: ribosomal RNA, 258 nt
Filed under: uncultured Atopobium sp.
Lineage: Bacteria; Bacillati; Actinomycetota; Coriobacteriia; Coriobacteriales; Atopobiaceae
Description: partial 16S ribosomal RNA
Rfam family: Bacterial small subunit ribosomal RNA
Source: RNAcentral